UUUUGAGCUAACUGGUCUCAACCUACAAUAAACAUAGGGGCCAAAACACAGAGGCCAUCUUUGGCUCAUUUAUGUAACCAUUCAUCCCUUGAAGAACAUCUGGGUUGUUUCCAGUGGGCAAUUAUAAACAGAGCCUCUAUCAACAUUCCUGUACCAGUUUUAGAAUGAACAUAAAUUUAUAUUUCUCUAAGUACUCAGGAGUAGAAUUGACGUUCUGUCAUAUGGAUAGCCACUGAGCAAGCCUGUAAGGCUAUUGGUCUGCCCAUUCUGGUUUCUUCACCAAUGAGAAAACUGGGACCUGGGGAGUUUGCAGAAGCCAUCCAAGGGCACCUGCUUCUCACAGCACAGCAGCUUCCUGCAGCCCUCCCUCCUGUCUUGUUUCUCCCUUAAUUGAGAGGAGAGGCCAGAACCAGAUGCAGGCAGUUCCAACAGUAAUGAAUUGCUCUAAGGUGUGGAUCCAAGAACCGGUGACAAGGUCAGGAAAUUCCAUCCCGGGACACUGACCCAACUAAGAGACUGUGCAUGAUGGCUAAGUUCAGAGCUCUGAGGAGAUGGUAAAACUCAUUUGCAACGAAACAAGAUAUUUUCCAACUCUGCAGCCAGAAACCAUCCUCCUGGCUGUCUCACCAUCAGCGCCACCUCUCCGUGGGUCUGGAGUCUUGAGGAGCCAGGACUGGACUGGGAUGUAAGGUUGGGUCUUCCGAGCUGUAGAUGGGAGCAGGAAGAUGUAUCUCCAUUCACGAUCUCAGUACAAGGCUCAGCUAUCUCCCGGCAACUCGCCCAUCAUCUGUUUCUGAGUUCUUCUGACAUACAGGUUCUUUGGAGGCGGCAUCAAGAAAAUACAUUUGGACAAAUCCUUCAUCUCAAAUAUUUUCCCCUCAUGAAACCAAAGGCAUUGCUCCAAAGUCAUUUCCAUUAAUUAGACAUGCAUCUUGUAUGACUGAAGGAGAAUCUAGUCCACAAACUCUGGGUUAAUUUUCUCUUCUGACAUCUGUGUGUAGUGUUUCUCUGAGGAGCUGAAUUAUCUGCUCUCCAGUGCCUUCCUCUCGGUGUUUUUUGGCCAGGAGCAAGGAGACAGGCAGCUGCAUUCUGGGAGCAGCAAGCAAUUCUGAGAACUGGAGCUGCUUAGGUUCUUUCACUUCUGCUUCAAAGGAAUACGUUGAGUUUGCAGAGAAUGAAGGAGAGAAAGACUCCAAGUUCCAAGCAGGGUCUUGGGGUAGUCUCUGAGCAUCCCAAUGUACUUACUUCCUCCCCACAGCUUCCUCACUGGGCUCCCAGCCACCAGUAUUUGUCUCUUUAAUCCCCCAACACAGAGCUACUAGAUGGAUUUCUUUCUUUCUUUUUUGUUUCUUUCUUUCGAUCGAUUUCUCUUUCUUUCUUUCUUUCUCUUUCCUUCUUUCUUUUCUUUCCUUUUCUUUUCUUUCUUUCUUUUUCUUUCUUUUACAUCUUCCUUCCUUCCUUGCUUCCUUUCUCUCUCUUUUUCUUUCUUUUAUGGUUUUUUUUUUGUUGUUGUUGUUGUUGUUUUUAGACAGUCUUGCUCUGUCACCCAGGCUGGAGUGCAGUGGUGCAAUCUCGGCUCACUGAAGUCUCAACCUCCUAGGCUCAAACAGUCCUCCAACUUCAGCCUCCCAAGUAGCUGAGACUACAGAUCAGCAAUCUGGCUAAUUAAAAAAAAAUUUUUUUUAGAGAUGGGGUCUUACUAUGUUGCCCAGUCUGGUCUUGAACUCCUAGCCUCAAACAGUCAUCCUCCCUUAGCCUCCUAAAGUGCCGUGAUUAUAGGCGUGAGCCACCAUGCCCAGCUGGAUUUUUUCUUUUAACUGUAGUUUUAUCAUGUUCUUUUUGCUUAAAAUAAACUUUUCUGAAGUAAAUUCUGGACUCUGCAAGGUCUUUGUUCUAUUUGUUAUGGUGUUUGGGCAAGCCCUCUGUUUUCCUGUCCAGAGCAGGCCUGGGACCUUUGCCUUCGGUGGCUUUCCUGGGAUCCCCCACUACCCAGAAGAGCAGGGCUAUUGCCUCUGCUCGUCCCCAGAUCCCAACCCUCCAUGGGCCUGCCCUGGAUCCUUGCUGUUGGAGGGGAGGCACAACUUCACCUCUACCCUCAUAGGGAUUUUUGGCUGCACCUGC
This 2121-nucleotide long non-coding RNA is filed under the name Homo sapiens (human). Its description in RNAcentral is "HSALNT0257945". Lineage: Eukaryota; Metazoa; Chordata; Mammalia; Primates; Hominidae. The record is from RNAcentral.